UAGCUAGUUGGUGAGGUAAAGGCUUACCAAGGCGACGAUCUGUAGCGGGUCUGAGAGGAUGAUCCGCCACACUGGAACUGAGACACGGUCCAGACUCCUACGGGAGGCAGCAGUGGGGAAUUUUGGACAAUGGGGGCAACCCUGAUCCAGCCAUGCCGCGUGAGUGAAGAAGGCCUUCGGGUUGUAAAGCUCUUUCGGCCGGGAAGAAAUCGCAUGGGCCAAUACCCUGUGUGGAUGACGGUACCGGAAUAAGAAGCACCGGCUAACUGCGUGCCAGCAGCCGCGGUAAUACGUAGGGUGCGAGCGUUAAUCGGAAUUACUGGGCGUAAAGCGUGCGCAGGCGGUUUUGUAAGACAGGCGUGAAAUCCCCGGGCUUAACCUGGGAACUGCGUUUGUGACUGCAAGGCUAGAGUACGGCAGAGGGGGGUGGAAUUCCACGUGUAGCAGUGAAAUGCGUAGAGAUGUGGAGGAACACCAAUGGCGAAGGCAGCCCCCUGGGUCGAUACUGACGCUCAUGCACGAAAGCGUGGGUAGCAAACAGGAUUAGAUACCCUGGUAGUCCACGCCCUAAACUAUGUCAACUAGGUGUUGGGUGGGUAAAACCAUUUAGUACCGUAGCUAACGCGUGAAGUUGACCGCCUGGGGAGUACGGCCGCAAGGUUAAAACUCAAAGGAAUUGACGGGGACCCGCACAAGCGGUGGAUGAUGUGGAUUAAUUCGAUGCAACGCGAAAAACCUUACCUACCCUUGACAUGCCAGGAACUUGCCAGAGAUGGCUUGGUGCCCGAAAGGGAGCCUGGACACAGGUGCUGCAUGGCUGUCGUCAGCUCGUGUCGUGAGAUGUUGGGUUAAGUCCCGCAACGAGCGCAACCCUUGUCGUUAAUUGCCAUCAUUUAGUUGGGCACUUUAACGAGACUGCCGGUGACAAACCGGAGGAAGGUGGGGAUGACGUCAAGUCCUCAUGGCCCUUAUGGGUAGGGCUUCACACGUCAUACAAUGGUCGGUACAAAGGGUUGCCAAGCCGCGAGGCGGAGCCAAUCCCAGAAAGCCGAUCGUAGUCCGGAUUGCAGGCUGCAACUCGCCUGCAUGAAGUCGGAAUCGCUAGUAAUCGUGGAUCAGCAUGUCACGGUGAAUACGUUCCCGGGUCUUGUACACACCGCCCGUCACACCAUGGGAGCGGGUUCCGCCAGAAGUAGGUAGCCUAACCGCAAGGGGGGCGCUUACCACGGCGGGGUUCGUGACUGGGGUGAAGUCGGAACAAGGUAGCCGUAGGGGAACCUGCGGCUG
This 1287-nucleotide ribosomal RNA is filed under the name metagenome. RNAcentral's name for it is "bacterial SSU rRNA". It matches the Rfam family "Bacterial small subunit ribosomal RNA", at positions 242 to 1520 of the family's 1533-position model. The record is from RNAcentral.